AGGGGUAUAGCUCAAGUGGAAGAGUGCGUGCUUAGUAUGCACAAGGUCCUGGGUUCAAUCCCCAGUACCUCCA
Camelus ferus (Wild Bactrian camel) is the source of this 73-nucleotide transfer RNA. It matches the Rfam family "tRNA". From Rfam's summary of the family: Transfer RNA (tRNA) molecules are approximately 80 nucleotides in length. Their secondary structure includes four short double-helical elements and three loops (D, anti-codon, and T loops). Further hydrogen bonds mediate the characteristic L-shaped molecular structure. tRNAs have two regions of fundamental functional importance: the anti-codon, which is responsible for specific mRNA codon recognition, and the 3' end, to which the tRNAs corresponding amino acid is attached (by aminoacyl-tRNA synthetases). tRNAs cope with the degeneracy of the genetic code in two manners: having more than one tRNA (with a specific anti-codon) for a particular amino acid; and 'wobble' base-pairing, i.e. permitting non-standard base-pairing at the 3rd anti-codon position. Lineage: Eukaryota; Metazoa; Chordata; Mammalia; Artiodactyla; Camelidae. The record is from Rfam.